This 674-nucleotide ribosomal RNA is filed under the name uncultured bacterium. Its description in RNAcentral is "bacterial SSU rRNA". It matches the Rfam family "Bacterial small subunit ribosomal RNA", at positions 828 to 1500 of the family's 1533-position model. The record is from RNAcentral.
GAAUUUACUUUCUCAGUAACGAAGCUAACGCGUGAAGUUGACCGCCUGGGGAGUACGGCCGCCAAGGUUGAAACUCAAAGGAAUUGANCGGGGACCCGCACAAGCGGUGGAUGAUGUGGUUUAAUUCGAUGCAACGCGAAAAACCUUACCCACCUUUGACAUGUACGGAAGUUACCAGAGAUGGUUUCGUGCUCGAAAGAGAACCGUAACACAGGUGCUGCAUGGCUGUCGUCAGCUCGUGUCGUGAGAUGUUGGGUUAAGUCCCGCAACGAGCGCAACCCUUGCCAUUAGUUGCUACAUUUAGUUGAGCACUCUAAUGGGACUGCCGGUGACAAACCGGAGGAAGGUGGGGAUGACGUCAAGUCCUCAUGGCCCUUAUAGGUGGGGCUACACACGUCAUACAAUGGCUGGUACAGAGGGUUGCCAACCCGCGAGGGGGAGCCAAUCCCAUAAAGCCAGUCGUAGUCCGGAUCGCAGUCUGCAACUCGACUGCGUGAAGUCGGAAUCGCUAGUAAUCGCGGAUCAGAAUGUCGCGGUGAAUACGUUCCCGGGUCUUGUACACACCGCCCGUCACACCAUGGGAGCGGGUCUCGCCAGAAGUAGGUAGCCUAACCGUAAGGAGGGCGCUUACCACGGCGGGGUUCGUGACUGGGGUGAAGUCGUAACAAGGUACC